Molecule: ribosomal RNA, 400 nt
Filed under: uncultured bacterium
Lineage: Bacteria
Description: bacterial SSU rRNA
Rfam family: Bacterial small subunit ribosomal RNA
Source: RNAcentral
UGGGGAAUAUUGGACAAUGGGGGAAACCCUGAUCCAGCGAUGCCGCGUGAGUGAAGAAGGCCUUCGGGUUGUAAAGCUCUUUUACCGGGGAAGAUAAUGACGGUACCCGGGGAAUAAGCUCCGGCUAACUUCGUGCCAGCAGCCGCGGUAAUACGAAGGGAGCUAGCGUUGUUCGGAAUUACUGGGCGUAAAGGGCGCGUAGGCUGCUUGAUAAGUCAGAUGUGAAAGCCCUGGGCUCAACCUAGGAACUGCAUAUGAUACUGUCAGGCUUGAGUACAAGAGAGGAGAGUGGAAUUACGAGUGUAGAAGUGAAAUUCGUAGAUAUUCGUAGGAACACCGGUGGCGAAGGCGACUCUCUGGCUUGAUACUGACGCUAAAGCGCGAAAGCGUGGGGAGCAAA